Long non-coding RNA from Triticum urartu, 754 nucleotides. RefSeq lists it as uncharacterized. Lineage: Eukaryota; Viridiplantae; Streptophyta; Magnoliopsida; Poales; Poaceae. The record is from RefSeq and is a predicted model, not a curated record.
CUUCAGGUCCUUCUCCUUCAAAACAACUAUACCCGUCGCUCGCUCCCGUUCCCCUCUCUCGUCGACGGUGGCGGCUGCCCAGAUCGGCAGAUCUGUUGCUUCCCUGGUCGACGACGGCUACUCCCACGCCACCUGUUCCCUGCCUCCUCCCUUCUUACUCCGGUAUCCAAGUCGCUUGGAUCCGUCCCUAGGGCAGCCCAACAUCGCGCUGCGCAUUGUCGUCAGGGAUCUGGUCACCGCCGCCAUGGCCUCCUCCUCCCUGGUGGCCGCGGGCGCCCUGGACGGUCAACUCACAUUCCUAUAUCUGUAGGGCAAGCUAGUAGAGGUCAAGUGCAUGGUGAUGUUGCCAUAGCCCCCUCCUCCCUGGUGGUCCUAGAUCCAGCAAUAGCUCACCGGAGGCCAGCCGGCGGUGCUCGAUCUCGCCUCAUUCGCCUCGCAGGCUCGACAGCAAGUACAUGAAGAUUGAUGAGCAAAAUGCACUAUAACUGGAGGCGAAAGGGAAUAACUUUUCUUUUAUGUGCAAUCAGAUAACAAACCCGAUGCAAGCUUUGGUAGCAAUGCUUAUUCAGCGGGGAUCACUUCAGUCCAUACUCAGGGCUCGCUGUUCAUGUACUAGAAAAUGAUCAUCUCAUGUUAUGUACAAGUUAUAUAUGUAUGUCUCUUGUGUACUCAAAUUUGGAUGGAUGUCAUACACUCAAAUAUUUCUGGCUAGGAUGAUCCACUUGGACAUGUAUUCAAAAAUUUGUGCUUCACA